This is a long non-coding RNA of Engraulis encrasicolus (European anchovy), 726 nucleotides long. RefSeq lists it as uncharacterized. The record is from RefSeq and is a predicted model, not a curated record. Lineage: Eukaryota; Metazoa; Chordata; Actinopteri; Clupeiformes; Engraulidae. The transcript is spliced from 3 exons.
ACCAUGUCAGGAUAACAUACUCCCUUGGAUUAUAGUCAUCGGACUCGCAAGACCAGACUCCAACACGGGCUGAAAUUUUGAAAUGGGACCUGACACUCUUGGACACAGUCGGCUACGGCAGCGGCUUCAAAUACGCUUUGGUGACCAUAUUUCUAAUCGAGAGUUGUGCGAACGAGCCAGACAAACCAGCUGGGAGGAGGACGGAAGCACCCCUUCUCCAUCCGCGUUCAGUUGCUAAAUACGGAUUCACCCCGUAGUCAACAGCAGACAGGGUCCUUCCACAACCACAUACUUAUGCCAGUAAAAGCCACAGCUUUUCUCCUCCAAUCCAAGACGCCUGGACUGCAGUCACCAUCUCAACACACCAACCAAGAGAAAGGCGGAUGGCUCAAUUCAGUAUGUAGUUCUGCAAAUAUUCUCAAAGGUCUUCACAGCCCCCCAUGGUGCUGAAUGCAUUUACAUUUAUUUGUGUAAGGUAAAAACAAUGCUGAUUACAGAACAUAACUAGGGCCAUGAAUGAAAUUUGAGGUAGCAGCCAGCCAUCACCUGAUGGUGAGAGGUGGUCCUAAGAUCAGAGAGAAGCAAGUUGAAAUCCCAUCCUUACCUCUCCCUACCUACACCUCCAUCCACAGCUGAAGUGCACUUGAGCAAGGCAUACAAGUCCACUUAGGUCCUGGGACUGUAGCCAACACCCUGUAAAACCCUGCUGUGUAAUUUGAUGUAAUG